RNAcentral lists this ribosomal RNA (451 nucleotides) under uncultured bacterium. RNAcentral's name for it is "partial 16S ribosomal RNA". It matches the Rfam family "Bacterial small subunit ribosomal RNA", at positions 354 to 796 of the family's 1533-position model. The record is from RNAcentral.
GUGGGGAAUAUUGGACAAUGGGGGGAACCCUGAUCCAGCCAUGCCGCGUGUGUGAAGAAGGCCUUUUGGUUGUAAAGCACUUUAAGCGAGGAGGAGGCUACCGAGAUUAAUACUCUUGGAUAGUGGACGUUACUCGCAGAAUAAGCACCGGCUAACUCUGUGCCAGCAGUCGCGGUAAUACAGAGGGUGCAAGCGUUAAUCGGAUUUACUGGGCGUAAAGCGCGCGUAGGUGGCCAAUUAAGUCAAAUGUGAAAUCCCCGAGCUUAACUUGGGAAUUGCAUUCGAUACUGGUUGGCUAGAGUAUGGGAGAGGAUGGUAGAAUUCCAGGUGUAGCGGUGAAAUGCGUAGAGAUCUGGAGGAAUACCGAUGGCGAAGGCAGCCAUCUGGCCUAAUACUGACACUGAGGUGCGAAAGCAUGGGGAGCAAACAGGAUUAGAAACCCUGGUAGUCC